Molecule: ribosomal RNA, 301 nt
Filed under: uncultured bacterium
Lineage: Bacteria
Description: partial 16S ribosomal RNA
Rfam family: Bacterial small subunit ribosomal RNA
Source: RNAcentral
CAGUAGCCGCGGUAAUACGAAGGGGGCUAGCGUUGUUCGGAUUUACUGGGCGUAAAGGGCGCGUAGGCGGACUGAUAAGUCAGGGGUGAAAUCCCAAGGCUCAACCUUGGAACUGCCUUUGAUACUGUUUGUCUUGAGUUCGAGAGAGGUAAGUGGAACUGCGAGUGUAGAGGUGAAAUUCGUAGAUAUUCGCAAGAACACCAGUGGCGAAGGCGGCUUACUGGCUCGAAACUGACGCUGAGGCGCGAAAGCGUGGGGAGCAAACAGGAUUAGAGACCCCGGUAGUCCCUGUCUCUUAUAC